GUCGAACGAACUUAACUCAUUCUUUUAGAUUGAGAGCGGUUAGUGGCGGACUGGUGAGUAACGCGUAAGUAACCUGCCUGUUAGAGGGGAAUAACAAUGAGAAAUCAUUGCUAAUACCGCAUAUGCCAUAAUUAUCACAUGAUAAUAGUGGGAAAGGAGCAAUUCGCUAACAGAUGGACUUGCGUCUGAUUAGAUAGUUGGUGGGGUAACGGCCUACCAAGUCGACGAUCAGUAGCCGGACUGAGAGGUUGAACGGCCACAUUGGGACUGAGAUACGGCCCAGACUCCUACGGGAGGCAGCAGUCGGGAAUAUUGCGCAAUGGAGGAAACUCUGACGCAGUGACGCCGCGUAUAGGAAGAAGGUUUUCGGAUUGUAAACUAUUGUCGUUAGGGAAGAGAAUGGACAGUACCUAAGGAGGAAGCUCCGGCUAACUACGUGCCAGCAGCCGCGGUAAUACGUAGGGAGCGAGCGUUAUCCGGAAUUAUUGGGUGUAAAGGGUGCGUAGACGGGAAUACAAGUUAGUUGUGAAAUCCCUCGGCUUAACUGAGGAACUGCAACUAAAACUAUAUUUCUUGAGUGCAGGAGAGGUAAGUGGAAUUCCUAGUGUAGCGGUGAAAUGCGUAGAUAUUAGGAGGAACACCAGUGGCGAAGGCGACUUACUGGACUGUAACUGACGUUGAGGCACGAAAGUGUGGGGAGCAAACAGGAUUAGAUACCCUGGUAGUCCACACUGUAAACGAUGGAUACUAGGUGUAGGUUAUAUU
RNAcentral lists this ribosomal RNA (765 nucleotides) under uncultured bacterium. Its description in RNAcentral is "bacterial SSU rRNA". It matches the Rfam family "Bacterial small subunit ribosomal RNA", at positions 61 to 833 of the family's 1533-position model. The record is from RNAcentral.